GACGAACGCUGGCGGCGUGCUUAAUACAUGCAAGUCGAACGGAAAGGCCCUGCUUUUGUGGGGUGCUCGAGUGGCGAACGGGUGAGUAUCACGUGAGUAACCUGCCCUUGACUUUGGGAUAACUUCUGGAAACUGGGGCUAAUACCGGAUAGGAGCUCCUGCUGCAUGGUGGGGGUUGGAAAGUUUCGGCGGUUGGGGAUGGACUUGCGGCUUAUCAGCUUGUUGGUGAGGUAGUGGCUUACCAAGGCUUUGACGGGUAGCCGGCAUGGGAGGGUGACCGGCCACAUGGGGACUGAGAUACGGCCCAGACUCCUACGGGACGCAGCAGUGGGGAAUAUUGCGCAAUGGGCGGAAGCCUGAUACAGCAACGCCGCGUGCGGGAUGACGGCCUUCGGGUUAUGAACCGCUUUCGCCUGUGACGAAGCGUGAGUGACGGUAAUGGGUAAAGAAGCACCGGCUAACUACGUG
RNAcentral lists this ribosomal RNA (468 nucleotides) under uncultured bacterium. RNAcentral's name for it is "partial 16S ribosomal RNA". It matches the Rfam family "Bacterial small subunit ribosomal RNA", at positions 28 to 507 of the family's 1533-position model. The record is from RNAcentral.